RNAcentral lists this ribosomal RNA (664 nucleotides) under uncultured bacterium. RNAcentral's name for it is "bacterial SSU rRNA". It matches the Rfam family "Bacterial small subunit ribosomal RNA", at positions 44 to 715 of the family's 1533-position model. The record is from RNAcentral.
AUGCUUAACACAUGCAAGUCGAACGGGUGCCAGUUGCCCGCAAGGGUGGCUGGCGCUAGUGGCGGACGGGUGAGUAACACGUGGGCAACCUGCCCAAGAGUGUGGGAUAACCCUGCGAAAGCAGAGCUAAUACCGCAUGUGGCUGCCGGAAGGCAUCUUCUGGCAACUAAAGUCGCAAGACGCUCUUGGAUGGGCCCGCGGCCUAUUAGCUAGUUGGUGAGGUAACGGCCCACCAAGGCUGAGAUGGGUAGCUGGUCUGAGAGGACGAUCAGCCACACUGGGACUGAGACACGGCCCAGACUCCUACGGGAGGCAGCAGUGAGGAAUUUUCCGCAAUGGGCGAAAGCCUGACGGAGCAACGCCGCGUGAGGGAUGAAGUCUCUAGGGAUGUAAACCUCUGUUGGGAGGGACGAAGAUCUGACGGUACCUCCUGAGGAAGCCCCGGCUAACUACGUGCCAGCAGCCGCGGUAAUACGUAGGGGGCGAGCGUUAUCCGGAUUUACUGGGCGUAAAGAGUGCGUAGGCGGUUCCGUAAGUUGGUUGUGAAAGUUCGAGGCUCAACCUCGAAACUGCGUCCAAAACUGCGGGGCUGGAGUGCAAGAGAGGCAAGUGGAAUUCCCGGUGUAGUAGUGAAAUGCGUAGAUAUCGGAAGGAACACCAGUGG